Molecule: non-coding RNA, 3144 nt
Organism: Phalacrocorax carbo (great cormorant)
Lineage: Eukaryota; Metazoa; Chordata; Aves; Suliformes; Phalacrocoracidae
Source: RefSeq, a predicted model, not a curated record
CGGUGACACUGCUGCCCCCCACCUCCCCCUCCAGCUGCAGUAGUAUCGCCUGCCCCCCCCGGACGCGGUGGUACGGCCCGCCCGCCCCGCCUUCUCGGUGGUACCGCCCCGCCGCCGCCGUCCCAUGGAGCAGACCCGGACACCGGCACCGGCACCGCCGCCACCGCCCGCCCCCUCCUUCGCCGAGGUGCUGCAGUUGGUGCGGAGCGGGCAGGAGCCGCCCGGCGUGCGGCACCCACGAGCCGAGCCCACAGGGGACAGCCCCACGGCCGCCCGCCUGCCGCUGCCCGCCAAGCCCUGGGAGAGCCGCCCCCGCCCCGGUGGGCCCUGAGUCCCGGUCCCGCCCCAGCACAGAUCCGAGGACAGCAUUCACUUCAUGCUGUUUUAUGACAUCUUCAUCUUGCAGCUGCAGCCAUUGCUCAGAGAACAAAGAACCCCCGCCGCUCUCAACGCAGCAGCCUGGUGGGAGCAGCGGUAUUGCUUGAUUGCCAUACGCCACAUCUCAAUAGCUAGUGAUCCUGUAGGAAGUACAAACAACCUUCAGCAGAGCCGCAUUUCUUCACCAUACACAGCUGGGCGACCACCCUGUCUCAAUACAAUCAUCAAAUUAACCUUGUAAACAUUUGAAGAACCUGAGAACUGACUUAACACUUGAAAGCCGCGGUGGGCAAAGGCAGGACCGAUGCGUGCUUCCUCCCUCCCAGCAGCAGCAGCAUCGCCAUCCCUGAGCUCAGAGCUACUCCACGUUGAGCUUUGUUUUUAUGUUCAUGGCUGCCAGCUCUGCCACAAAGUAACGGAAGACGUGGGGCACAGGGACAACUUCGAUCGUGUCCACCUCGCUGCAGACAGAGCAGGAGUACCUCCUGUUGCUCGUCACAGAGGAGGAGUGUGGCGGUUUCUCCAGCACGGGAGAUGUCAUGCUGCCGCAGCUCAUGCAGACAUAGGCUAUGGAACCAUCAGAGCAGUUGAACAGGCGGUCUUGAAGCAAGAAGGACGUGCCAUGAGCCAGCAAAGCAUCACGCUCCAUCUCGCCAAAGCGAAUCCCACCUUCCACGUUCCUCCCCUUGACGGGCUGGUUGGUGACAGCGUCUCGGGGCCCCGUUGUCCUCACCUGGAACUUGUCCGAGACCAUGUGGCGCAGGCGCUGAUAGUACACCACUCCUACAAAGAUCUCCGCCUCCAGCUCCAGCCCGCUGAUGCCACUGUACAUCUUUUCUGUCCCAAAGAAGUUAUAACCUGCGCUCACUAAAGUCUCACCAAAGUAUUUCAAAGCAGAGUUCUUCUCUGUGAAGGUGAAGGGAGUGGCGUCAUAGGAGACACCGUGCAGCGCUGCUGACUUCCCUGCCAUGCUCUCGAUUAACAUCCCAAUGGUCAUACGGGAGGGAAAGCCGUGAGGGUUGAAGAGGAUGUCUGGAACCAUCCCAUUCUCUGUGAAUGGCAUGUCCUCAACUGGCCAGAGCUGGCUCAGGAUACCUUUCUGUCCGUGACGGCUGGCAAAUUUGUCUCCAACCGUUGGAUUUCGGGGAACCCUCACAGUGAUGCAAGCCUUCUUGAAUUUCCCAGUGCCACGGUCAUUACUGCAUAACCUGAUGUUGUCUACAAUGCCAACUUCCUUAUUCCUGCAUAGGUGGAAAAACAAUCACAGCAAAGGUGUCAGAUGUGCUAAUGAUUUUUAGCUAGCAAAGGGAAAUGAAGGAAGAAACCCAAACCAGUUUGUAUGUCUCAUAAAGUGCCAUGGGACAACCGGGGAACACCACCGUUCUUGAAAAGUACUAUUCAGUAGCGAGAGAAGUCAGACUGUGUAAGAAUUAGGGCAAGGAAGCAAUACAAUGGCAUCAGACAGGUGCCAUUCAUUUGCUUUUUCUAAUACUAGAAGCACAGCUACAACUUUUGGGUGAUCAGGUAACGUGUCAUCCAUGAUUUAAUAUAAAGAUCAUUUAAACCCAGUUCAUCUGUAUUGUGCUUUAUGUGACAAACUGCACCCAGUGCCGUCUGUUUGGUGUUACAGCAGCAGUCCCUCUCCCUGCCCCCAAUAAAUUCACACCAUCUUGGUGUGAUACCAAAAUAGAGAACCGGGUUCAAAGCAGAGAGGAAAGUUCAGAGCAGAAAGGGAAGGCACAGUGUGAACUGAGAGGGCUUUGCCAACAAGUGCCUCUUUCAGGGGUGUGUGCUGCUGCUCCAGAUGUUCCAUGGGCUAGGUAUCUGCCGCAGGCUUAACUGUUGUCACAGAGCUUUCUGCCCAAACUCUCCACUUGUUUUGGAGACAACAGCUAAGGAAUAAAUAAAUUUUGUCCCAUAUUAAGACAAGGUUACUUUUCUUCUUCUCCUUUGAAGUCCUAAUGAACAGGGUGUUUGCAGAAGGCCUAUACCUAAGUUCAGCUUCUGUUUCAAAGGUUAUUAAGCCUUUGUAAGCCUCUUCCAAACUUGUUCAAGCUUUUGCAGUCAAAGACUCUGUCCUCCCUCUCUUGCAAGCCUAGCUAGCGAUGUAUGGAGCGCUUAGGAAAGUAGGGAUCACUCCCUCUUAAGGGCCCCAGGUCUCUGGGGCAAAUUGGUGGCAGGAGCCAACAACUGAAAGCUGGGAACCUCAUCCCUCUGUAGGAACCUAAAUACUUAUCCAGUUUGGAUGAAGAAUGAACAAAAGCUCAACGGUACAGAGGUAAAGUGGCUCUCUGGAUAAGGAACCUGAACUAAGGCUGGGCUGGCAUGAGAGGUCUGGGGAGCAAGACUUUGGGGUAGGAGAGCCAAAGAGGGCUCCACAAGCGCAAGGACAAGGCUGAGCUUACAGGUCCCCACUACCAGGUGCUGAAGCUCUUAGCCCUGCUCUAUGACCAGGAUGACUAAUUCUAUGAGUCCAUAGCAGUCUCCCCAGUGCAGCUAAGGCACCAUCUGUUAUAAACAGUAGUUUUUGCAGUAAUGCUAGUUACUGUGUUACCCAAGUGCUUCUCAAACUAAUUUGCCUUCACAAUGUGAAUAACUAUGCAGCAUUACCCUCACUCUAUCAAUGCUGUAGAGAGACACAGGUAAGGCCUGAAGUUGUACGGACUACUGGGAGCACAGGAUGCAUUUAAAUAUAUCAGGUUUUGUCAAUGUUUUUGCUUCCCUUUCCUGAAAAAAUUAAAGAGGAUUUUAAUGAUUUUAAUGAAA